RNAcentral lists this ribosomal RNA (457 nucleotides) under uncultured bacterium. Its description in RNAcentral is "bacterial SSU rRNA". It matches the Rfam family "Bacterial small subunit ribosomal RNA", at positions 28 to 507 of the family's 1533-position model. The record is from RNAcentral.
AACGAACGCUGGCGGCAGGCCUAACACAUGCAAGUCGAGGGGAAGCCACUUUCGGGUGGUGGAGACCGGCGCACGGGUGAGUAACGCGUGGGCACCUGCCCUGGGGUGGGGGACAACCGCUGGAAACGGCGGCUAAUACCGCAUACGCCCCGUUGUCGUAGAGGCGGCGGGGGAAAGAUUUAUCGCCCUGGGAUGGGCCCGCGUUGGAUUAGCUUGUUGGUGGGGUAAAGGCCUACCAAGGCGACGAUCCAUAGCUGGUCUGAGAGGAUGAUCAGCCACACUGGGACUGAGACACGGCCCAGACUCCUACGGGAGGCAGCAGUGGGGAAUAUUGGACAAUGGGGGCAACCCUGAUCCAGCCAUGCCGCGUGCGUGAAGAAGGCUUUAGGGUUGUAAAGCGCUUUCACCGGUGACGAUGAUGACGGUAACCGGAGAAGAAGCCCCGGCUAACUCCGUG